UACGGAGGGGACGAGCGUUGUUCGGAAUUACUGGGCGUAAAGCGCACGUAGGCGGAUUUGUAAGUCAGGGGUGAAAUCCCGGGGCUCAACCUCGGAACUGCCUUUGAUACUGCAAAUCUCGAGUCCGGAAGAGGUGAGUGGAAUUCCUAGUGUAGAGGUGAAAUUCGUAGAUAUUAGGAAGAACACCAGUGGCGAAGGCGGCUCACUGGUCCGGUACUGACGCUGAGGUGCGAAAGCGUGGGGAGCAAACAGG
Molecule: ribosomal RNA, 253 nt
Filed under: uncultured bacterium
Lineage: Bacteria
Description: partial 16S ribosomal RNA
Rfam family: Bacterial small subunit ribosomal RNA
Source: RNAcentral